This is a non-coding RNA of Python bivittatus (Burmese python), 273 nucleotides long. The record is from RefSeq and is a predicted model, not a curated record. NCBI's taxonomy places the organism in Eukaryota, Metazoa, Chordata, Lepidosauria, Squamata, Pythonidae.
UGGGAGUUGAAGUCCAUCCGUCUUAAAGUCGCCGAGAGGGAGAAGCGCUGGAGUCUCCCUUCAAGCCAUUGGAUCCUGAAAUGAGAAAGCAUCCCCUUCACCAGCCAAGCAACGAGCUAAAAUGGAUGACAUCGUGGUGGUGGCCCCAGGGACUCAGGCAUCACGGAAUGUCAGCAGUGACCCAGAUGUCAUAAAACUGCAGGAAAUCCCCACUUUCCAGCCUCUGUUGAAAGGAAAGAACUCUGAUCUUCUGGAAAUAAGUUGUACUGAAGU